Molecule: ribosomal RNA, 580 nt
Filed under: Vishniacozyma victoriae
Lineage: Eukaryota; Fungi; Basidiomycota; Tremellomycetes; Tremellales; Bulleribasidiaceae
Description: eukaryotic LSU rRNA
Rfam family: Eukaryotic large subunit ribosomal RNA
Source: RNAcentral
GGCGAGUGAACCGGGAUGAGCUCAAAUUUAAAAUCUGGCGUCUUUCAGGCGUCCGAGUUGUAAUCUAUAGAGGCGUUUUCCGCGCCGGACCGCGUCCAAGUCUCUUGGAAUAGAGUAUCAAAGAGGGUGACAAUCCCGUACUUGACGCGACAACCGGUGCUCUGUGAUACGUUCUCAAUGAGUCGAGUUGUUUGGGAAUGCAGCUCUAAAUGGGUGGUAAAUUCCAUCUAAGGCUAAAUAUUGGCGAGAGACCGAUAGCGAACAAGUACCGUGAGGGAAAGAUGAAAAGCACUUUGGAAAGAGAGUUAAACAGCACGUGAAAUUGUUAAAAGGGAAACGAUUGAAGUCAGUCGUGUGAAAGGUAUUCAGCCGUCUCUGGCGGUGUAUUUGCCUUUCACGGGUCAACAUCAGUUUGAUCCGGUAGAAAAAGGCGGGAGGAAGGUGGCACCCUCGGGUGUGUUAUAGCCUCCUGUCAUAUGUGCCGGACCAGACUGAGGAACGCAGCUUGCCGCAAGGCCGGGGUUCGCCCACGUACAAGCUUAGGAUGUUGACAUAAUGGCUUUAAACGACCCGUCUUGAA